CCUACGGGUGGCAGCAGUGGGGAAUAUUGCACAAUGGGGGAAACCCUGAUGCAGCGACGCCGCGUGAGUGAAGAAGUAAUUCGUUACGUAAAGCUCUAUCAGCAGGGAAGAAACACUGACCUUACGGUCAGCAGACGGUACCUGAGUAAGAAGCCCCGGCUAACUACGUGCCAGCAGCCGCGGCAAUACGUAGGGGGCAAGCGUUAUCCGGAUUUACUUGGUUGAAAGGGAGCGUAGACGGCGCGGCAAGUCGGGAGUGAAAUGCCGCAGCUUAACUGCGGAACUGCUUUGGAUACUGGCGAACUAGAGUGCGGGAGGGGUAAGCGGAAUUCCUAGUGUAGCGGUGAAAUGCGUAGAUAUUAGGAGGAACACCGGUGGCGAAGGCGGCUUACUGGACCGUAACUGACGCUGAGGCUCGAAAGCGUGGGGAGCAAACAGGAUUAGAUACCCGGGUAGUC
This 458-nucleotide ribosomal RNA is filed under the name uncultured bacterium. RNAcentral describes it as "partial 16S ribosomal RNA". It matches the Rfam family "Bacterial small subunit ribosomal RNA", at positions 338 to 795 of the family's 1533-position model. The record is from RNAcentral.